This 468-nucleotide ribosomal RNA is filed under the name uncultured bacterium. RNAcentral describes it as "partial 16S ribosomal RNA". It matches the Rfam family "Bacterial small subunit ribosomal RNA", at positions 28 to 507 of the family's 1533-position model. The record is from RNAcentral.
GACGAACGCUGGCGGCGUGCUUAACACAUGCAAGUCGAACGGAAGGGGCCUGCUUGUGUGUGGUGCUCGAGGGGGGAACGGGUGAGUAACACAUGAGUAAGCUGCCCUGGACUUUGGGAUAACUUCAGGAAACUGGGGCUACUACCUGAUAGGAGCUGCUGCUGCAUGGGGGGGGUUGGACAGUUUCGGAGGGUGGGGGUGGAGUCGGGGCUUAUCAGCUUGUUGGUUGGGGAGUGGCUUACCAAGGCUUUGGCGGAUAGCCGGCCUGAGAGGUUGACCGGCGACAAUGGGACUACGGGAGGGCGCAGUGGGCAACGGGAGACAGUAGUGGGGAAUAUGGUACAAUGGGCGGAAGUGUGAGGAAGCAACGCUGCGUGCGUGAUGACGGCUUUGGGGUGGUAAACCGCAUUAGCCUGUGACGUAGCGGGAGUGACGGUAACGGGUAAAGAAGCACCGGCUAACUACGUG